Non-coding RNA from Microcebus murinus (gray mouse lemur), 400 nucleotides. Lineage: Eukaryota; Metazoa; Chordata; Mammalia; Primates; Cheirogaleidae. The record is from RefSeq and is a predicted model, not a curated record.
GGAAAUUGCUGUAAAAUGUAUGACUUCAUUGAAUUAUGGUUCUACUUGAGCAAUUCUGUGAGUGCACAGGUAUGUCUGUUGAAGAGGAGACGAGAUCCAUGGCUUUCAGUGGACCUUCAAAACAGUUUGUGAUGCAAAAACUUCUAUAGAGAUGACCAGGAAUUUACUUAAGAAACAAUCACGUGGAUGGAUCCAGAAUGUCCUGCCCAGUAUUUUAUACAAAGAGAAUGCUAUAUGUUGAUGGGCCAAUUUAUUAACUGAUUGUUAGUGCUGAAAGCAGUUUCUCUGACCUCCAGUUUUAAUUGCUACUCUGCCACUGACUGACACUUUCAAGAAGUUAAUUUAAAAAAUCAGAGGGAUAAUUCUAUUCUACCUAUGUGAUUUGGCAGUGAAGAAACAU